Molecule: long non-coding RNA, 616 nt
Organism: Fundulus heteroclitus (mummichog)
Lineage: Eukaryota; Metazoa; Chordata; Actinopteri; Cyprinodontiformes; Fundulidae
Exons: 2
Source: RefSeq, a predicted model, not a curated record
CAGGACUCAGCUGGCAGGGCUGUGCAGCUUGCUGCCAGCUCCGUUACCUCUGCUCCUUCACAGGUGUUCGUGGUUGGACGGUGGGCGGAGUGCGCACACCUGCAGCUCGUUCGGCAGCAUCUGAGCGUUCUAUAAGAACUGCGUCCGAACAGCGAGAGGACGCCAGAGUGUUUUCGUUGCGGUAUGCGUGACAGCCUCGACCUCUAGCCUACCCUUGUUCCCAGAGACUAAUCCUUCGUUUGCUCUCUCUCUCAAGGUUCCCCCUGUGUCUACGUGAACCCAGUUUGACUCUAGAGUUCCUCGACUCGAUCAGACGUACCUCUGCUCUGGACGCGAGUCACACCAACUCUCUCUCCGGUUCCUCUCGCUGCUCUGGAUCCCUGGACGCCCUCGGUGCUGCUCGGACCCCCUCGCCCCGCUCUCCGUCGACCCGAACGCCUGCUCAAGACAAUCCAGCUGAGUCCUCCUACCGUCUCUCCCGUUCGGUUAUCCAAUCCUCGUGACUGGUCCGGUCCCUUGGCCCCCGGGAUAGUUCGAGCCGUCAUCGUCUCCCGCCCCGCAGAUUACCGCUGCGCUCCGUGUGCUCCCGUGUCAAUAAUAAAUCCUUGAAUUCUGA